GACGGCACCCUCACCAGGAGCUGCAUCGUGCCCGCCGCGGACUCGAGGGCGUCGCUAACGGAGCGGGCCUAUUCUGGGGCCCGCGCCGAGGCCUGUUGCCCCUUUUAAUAGUGAAAUCUCAGCCUAAGGAGGGCCCUAGAUUCCAGGACCGUGGCCUUAGGAAUGCUGGGAAUCCUAUCCUUCCUGAGUAGCCAGGCCUGGACACCCACACACCAUGAUGGCUCCAGCAACGCAGCCCAGCCUGAGCUCUGACUCAGGGGUGUGACUUCUGCUACAGUCUUCCAAAAUGAGUGGGAGAUGAUAGGAGUGGAUGGCGCCCAGGUGUUCAAUCAGCUGCUCUGCACUGGACACCCCCAGCAAGACCGAGCUGACACCCUCACUGCGGAGA
Aethalodelphis obliquidens (Pacific white-sided dolphin) is the source of this 388-nucleotide long non-coding RNA. RefSeq lists it as uncharacterized. The transcript has 4 exons. Lineage: Eukaryota; Metazoa; Chordata; Mammalia; Artiodactyla; Delphinidae. The record is from RefSeq and is a predicted model, not a curated record.